RNAcentral lists this unclassified non-coding RNA (257 nucleotides) under air metagenome. Its description in RNAcentral is "partial contains small subunit ribosomal RNA, internal transcribed spacer 1, and 5.8S ribosomal RNA". The stretch from base 1 to 46 matches the Rfam family "Eukaryotic small subunit ribosomal RNA", at positions 1786 to 1831 of the family's 1831-position model. The record is from RNAcentral.
AAGUCGUAACAAGGUUUCCGUAGGUGAACCUGCGGAAGGAUCAUUAACGAGUAAACAGGAGAGUUGUAGCUGGCCGCAAGGCAUGUGCACGCUCUCUACUCAAUCCAACCUUACACCUGUGCACCUAUUGUAGGUCGAGUGGCUGGACUUGUUCUGCUCGCUCUUCCUAUGUUUUACACAUACACUUGUAGUCUCAGAAUGUAAUCAGCGUAUAACGCAUUAUAAAACAACUUUCAACAACGGAUCUCUUGGCUCUC